CACUAUCGUUAACUGAAUACAUAGGUUAACGAGGCGAACCGGGGGAACUGAAACAUCUAAGUACCCCGAGGAAAAGAAAUCAACCGAGAUUCCCCCAGUAGCGGCGAGCGAACGGGGAGCAGCCCAGAGUCUGAAUCAGCUUGUGUGUUAGUGGAACGGUCUGGAAAGUCCGACGGUACAGGGUGAUAGUCCCGUACACCAAAAUGCACAGGUUGUGAACUCGAAGAGUAGGGCGGGACACGUGGUAUCCUGUCUGAAUAUGGGGGGACCAUCCUCCAAGGCUAAAUACUCCUGACUGACCGAUAGUGAACCAGUACCGUGAGGGAAAGGCGAAAAGAACCCCGGCGAGGGGAGUGAAAAAGAACCUGAAACCGUGUACGUACAAGCAGUGGGAGCACCUUCGGGUGUGACUGCGUACCUUUUGUAUAAUGGGUCAGCGACUUAUAUUCUGUAGCAAGGUUAACCGUAUAGGGGAGCCGCAGGGAAACCGAGUCUUAACUGGGCGUUAAGUUGCAGGGUAUAGACCCGAAACCCGGUGAUCUAGCCAUGGGCAGGUUGAAGGUUGGGUAACACUAACUGGAGGACCGAACCGACUAAUGUUGAAAAAUUAGCGGAUGACUUGUGGCUGGGGGUGAAAGGCCAAUCAAACCGGGAGAUAGCUGGUUCUCCCCGAAAGCUAUUUAGGUAGCGCCUCGUGAAUUCAUCUUCGGGGGUAGAGCACUGUUUCGGCUAGGGGGUCAUCCCGACUUACCAACCCGAUGCAAACUACGAAUACCGAAGAAUGUUAUCACGGGAGACACACGGCGGGUGCUAACGUCCGUCGUGAAGAGGGAAACAACCCAGACCGCCAGCUAAGGUCCCAAAGUCACAGUUAAGUGGGAAACGAUGUGGGAAGGCACAGACAGCCAGGAUGUUGGCUUAGAAGCAGCCAUCAUUUAAAGAAAGCGUAAUAGCUCACUGGUCGAGUCGGCCUGCGCGGAAGAUGUAACGGGGCUAAACUGUGCACCGAAGCUGCGGCAGCGACACUAUGUGUUGUUGGGUAGGGGAGCGUUCUGUAAGCCUGCGAAGGUGGCCUGUGAGGGUUGCUGGAGGUAUCAGAAGUGCGAAUGCUGACAUAAGUAACGAUAAUGCGGGUGAAAAGCCCGCACGCCGGAAGACCAAGGGUUCCUGUCCAACGUUAAUCGGGGCAGGGUGAGUCGACCCCUAAGGCGAGGCCGAAAGGCGUAGUCGAUGGGAAACAGGUUAAUAUUCCUGUACUUGGUGUUACUGCGAAGGGGGGACGGAGAAGGCUAUGUUAGCCGGGCGACGGUUGUCCCGGUUUAAGCAUGUAGGCGGAGGUUCCAGGUAAAUCCGGUACCUUUUAACGCUGAGGUGUGAUGACGAGGCACUACGGUGCUGAAGUAACAAAUGCCCUGCUUCCAGGAAAAGCCUCUAAGCAUCAGGUAACAUUGAAUCGUACCCCAAACCGACACAGGUGGUCAGGUAGAGAAUACCAAGGCGCUUGAGAGAACUCGGGUGAAGGAACUAGGCAAAAUGGUGCCGUAACUUCGGGAGAAGGCACGCUGAUAUGUAGGUGAAGCCCCUGCGGGUGGAGCUGAAAUCAGUCGAAGAUACCAGCUGGCUGCAACUGUUUAUUAAAAACACAGCACUGUGCAAACACGAAAGUGGACGUAUACGGUGUGACGCCUGCCCGGUGCCGGAAGGUUAAUUGAUGGGGUUAUCCGUAAGGAGAAGCUCUUGAUCGAAGCCCCGGUAAACGGCGGCCGUAACUAUAACGGUCCUAAGGUAGCGAAAUUCCUUGUCGGGUAAGUUCCGACCUGCACGAAUGGCGUAAUGAUGGCCAGGCUGUCUCCACCCGAGACUCAGUGAAAUUGAACUCGCUGUGAAGAUGCAGUGUACCCGCGGCAAGACGGAAAGACCCCGUGAACCUUUACUAUAGCUUGACACUGAACAUUGAGCCUUGAUGUGUAGGAUAGGUGGGAGGCUUUGAAGCGUGGACGCCAGUCUGCGUGGAGCCAACCUUGAAAUACCACCCUUUAAUGUUUGAUGUUCUAACGUUGGCCCCUGACCGGGGUUGCGGACAGUGUCUGGUGGGUAGUUUGACUGGGGCGGUCUCCUCCCAAAGAGUAACGGAGGAGCACGAAGGUUAGCUAAUCCUGGUCGGACAUCAGGAGGUUAGUGCAAUGGCAUAAGCUAGCUUGACUGCGAGCGUGACGGCGCGAGCAGGUGCGAAAGCAGGUCAUAGUGAUCCGGUGGUUCUGAAUGGAAGGGCCAUCGCUCAACGGAUAAAAGGUACUCCGGGGAUAACAGGCUGAUACCGCCCAAGAGUUCAUAUCGACGGCGGUGUUUGGCACCUCGAUGUCGGCUCAUCACAUCCUGGGGCUGAAGUAGGUCCCAAGGGUAUGGCUGUUCGCCAUUUAAAGUGGUACGCGAGCUGGGUUUAGAACGUCGUGAGACAGUUCGGUCCCUAUCUGCCGUGGGCGCUGGAGAAUUGAGGGGGGCUGCUCCUAGUACGAGAGGACCGGAGUGGACGCAUCACUGGUGUUCGGGUUGUCAUGCCAAUGGCAUUGCCCGGUAGCUAAAUGCGGAAGAGAUAAGUGCUGAAAGCAUCUAAGCACGAAACUUGCCCCGAGAUGAGUUCUCCCUGAGACUUUAAGUCUCCUGAAGGAACGUUAAAGACGAUGACGUUGAUAGGUCGGGUGUGUAAGCGUAGCGAUACGUUGAGCUAACCGAUACUAAUGAACCGUGAGGCUUAACCUUACAACGCCGAAG
This 2772-nucleotide ribosomal RNA is filed under the name Klebsiella aerogenes. RNAcentral describes it as "bacterial LSU rRNA". It matches the Rfam family "Bacterial large subunit ribosomal RNA". The record is from RNAcentral. Lineage: Bacteria; Pseudomonadati; Pseudomonadota; Gammaproteobacteria; Enterobacterales; Enterobacteriaceae.